GGAGGGGGCAAGCGUUGUUCGGAAUUACUGGGCGUAAAGCGCGCGUAGGCGGUCUGUUUAGUCAGGCGUGAAAGCCCUGGGCUCAACCCAGGAACUGCGUUUGAUACUGGCGGACUAGAGUCCGGGAGAGGAGAGUGGAGUUUCCAGUGUAGAGGUGAAAUUCGUAGAUAUUGGAAAGAACACCAGUGGCGAAGGCGGCUCUCUGGACCGGUACUGACGCUGAUGUGCGAAAGCGUGGGGAGCAAACAGGAUUAGAUACCCUGGUAGUCCACGCCGUAAACGAUGAGUGCCCAGACGUUGGGAAGCUUGCUUUUCAGUGUCGCAGUUAAACGCAUUAAGCACUCCGCCUGGGGAGUACGGCCGCAAGGCUA
Molecule: ribosomal RNA, 371 nt
Filed under: uncultured organism
Description: partial 16S ribosomal RNA
Rfam family: Bacterial small subunit ribosomal RNA
Source: RNAcentral